Clupea harengus (Atlantic herring) is the source of this 1491-nucleotide long non-coding RNA. NCBI's taxonomy places the organism in Eukaryota, Metazoa, Chordata, Actinopteri, Clupeiformes, Clupeidae. The record is from Ensembl.
UCAUCAGUGAACACCACCUCCUUCAUCAGUGCUCACUCACUCACAGUCUGUCUCCAUUUUCAGCCCAAUCUGUUCUAAAGUAGCUGCUGUGGUUUUUGUGCAGGCGAUGCCACACACACACACACACUCCAGGUUUGCCUGUUUCUACCCGACUCAAAAGCCUCACGGAUUGAGGAACAGAGAAUAAUGUCUCCACCCAGUGGUCAGACAUGGGUAUAGCAUCCCCCAAAGAGCAGGACAGUUAGUGCGCAGCAGAGGGGCCCGAGCUGUAAGUCCAGACAACACCACUGCCCUUCACUCACACACACAAGAACUCUGGUCUUUUCUGGUCUGCAAACAGAAUCUGCUUACUUUAGCAUCAGUAUUUGUUAUCUUGUGAAGUGUUUUGCCUCUGUUUUUUAAAGCAGCCUGCCCUGAACAUGUCAGACUCAUCAGCAGGAAAUGUAACAUGGGAUUCUCUGCCAGAGGUGAAUGUGUCGUGAGAUUAAAAAAAGGAAUUUAAUCCGUGAAACAAAAGUUGUCCUUGUGUGUGUGUGAUCAUCGAUUAGAAGCUUUCCUGCUAUUUGCUCAGGAUGUAAAGUGCUUUCCAGAGGAAUAUGCAGUCGUGAAUACAGAGAGGAGAAGGUGAGUGUGUGUGAGAGUGUGUGAGAGAGGAGAAGGUGAGUGUGUAUGUGUGAGUGUGUGUGUGUGUGUGAGUGUGUGUGAGAGUGCACCUCUGCUGAAGGGCCAAGUGAGGCGAGAGCAGCAUCAGUAUUUAGGUCACAGCACAGGAGCACGGCCAUCUUUUGUGUCAGAAAUGAGAGUCAAAGGCCAAAGGUCAAAGGUCAGUCUCAUUCACAAACUGAAGAACCACACACACGCACGCACGCACGCACGCACGCACGCACACACACACACACACACACACACACACUGCCUCCCUACUCUCAGGCUCACUGAAGGACCACUGCCUCCCCACUCUCAGUCAAUAGCUGCUCUGGUCAUUGAUACAUCACACCCCUCUCUAUUUCUGCAACUCUCUCUCUCUCCCAUCAAAUUUGUUCUUGUUCCGUAGCGGCUACCUAACACAUCACACCUCUCUCUCCCUCUCUCUCUCCCCAACUCUCUGUCUCUCUCCCUCUCUCUCUCCCUCUCUCUCCCCCUCUCUCUCCCCCACUCCUAAAUCUGUAAUUUCUUCCCAGUGGCUCCUUCCGGCAGAGGAGGGUCGUGCUGAUUGUGUUUAUCCGUAUAGCCUUGGCUGUCAGAUGAAUUGUGAUUGGCCAGCCUUUGAGAGCAACAUUAAAGCACCCCUAAUGACAGGCUCCUCGGAGGCCUUUAGAGAUGCAACAGCCAUUGAUCCGUGUUUAAUCAAGCAGCCUCUGCUCUCUGCGUGAUCAGUGUCCUUUUGAGGGCUCUGAUGAGAACACUGCCUCUACACUCACUUUAAUGCCUGCUGGAGGACCUAACCCCCCCCCCCCCCCCCCACACACACACACACACACACACACACAC